GACGAACGCUGGCGGCGUGCUUAACACAUGCAAGUCGAGCGGUAAGGCCCUUUCGGGGUACACGAGCGGCGAACGGGUGAGUAACACGUGGGUGACCUGCCCUCAGCUCUGGGAUAAGCCUGGGAAACUGGGUCUAAUACUGGAUAUGACUCCACGGUGCAUGUCGUGGGGUGGAAAGCCUUGUGCGGCUGAGGAUGGGCCCGCGGCCUAUCAGCUUGUUGGUGGGGNGAUGGCCUACCAAGGCGACGACGGGUAGCCGGCCUGAGAGGGCGACCGGCCACACUGGGACUGAGACACGGCCCAGACUCCUACGGGAGGCAGCAGUGGGGAAUCUUGCGCAAUGGGCGAAAGCCUGACGCAGCGACGCCGCGUGAGGGAUGACGGCCUGGU
RNAcentral lists this ribosomal RNA (390 nucleotides) under uncultured bacterium. RNAcentral's name for it is "bacterial SSU rRNA". It matches the Rfam family "Bacterial small subunit ribosomal RNA", at positions 28 to 420 of the family's 1533-position model. The record is from RNAcentral.